UGGGGAAUAUUGGGCAAUGGGCGAAAGCCUGACCCAGCAACGCCGCGUGAGGGAAGAAGGUUUUCGGAUUGUAAACCUCUGUCCUAAGGGACGAAGGAAGUGACGGUACCUUAGGAGGAAGCCCCGGCUAACUACGUGCCAGCAGCCGCGGUAAUACGUAGGGGGUCGAGCGUUGUCCGGAAUGACUGGGCGUAAAGGGCGUGUAGGCGGCUUUUUAAGUCUGGAGUGAAAGUCCUGCUUUCAAGGUGGGAAAUUGCUUUGGAGACUGGAGAGCUUGAGUGCGGAAGAGGUAAGUGGAAUUCCCAGUGUAGCGGUGAAAUGCGUAGAGAUUGGGAGGAACACCAGUGGCGAAGGCGACUUACUGGGCCGUAACUGACGCUGAGGCGCGAAAGCGUGGGGAGCGAACAGGAUUAGAUACCC
This 420-nucleotide ribosomal RNA is filed under the name uncultured bacterium. RNAcentral describes it as "bacterial SSU rRNA". It matches the Rfam family "Bacterial small subunit ribosomal RNA", at positions 355 to 787 of the family's 1533-position model. The record is from RNAcentral.